GCCAGACUCCUACGGGAGGCAGCAGUGGGGAAUAUUGCACAAUGGGGGAAACCCUGAUGCAGCGACGCCGCGUGAGCGAAGAAGUAUUUCGGUAUGUAAAGCUCUAUCAGCAGGGAAGAAAAAAAUGACGGUACCUGAGUAAGAAGCACCGGCUAAAUACGUGCCAGCAGCCGCGGUAAUACGUAUGGUGCAAGCGUUAUCCGGAUUUACUGGGUGUAAAGGGAGCGUAGGCGGCGCGUUAAGUCUGAUGUGAAAACCCGAGGCUCAACCACGGGAGUGCAUUGGAAACUGGCGGGCUGGAGUGCCGGAGAGGUAAGCGGAAUUCCUAGUGUAGCGGUGAAAUGCGUAGAUAUUAGGAGGAACACCGGUGGCGAAGGCGGCCUGCUGGACUGUGACUGACGUUGAGGCUCGAAAGCGUGGGGAGCAAACAGGAUUAGAUACCCCUGUA
This 448-nucleotide ribosomal RNA is filed under the name uncultured bacterium. RNAcentral describes it as "partial 16S ribosomal RNA". It matches the Rfam family "Bacterial small subunit ribosomal RNA", at positions 330 to 792 of the family's 1533-position model. The record is from RNAcentral.